This 487-nucleotide ribosomal RNA is filed under the name uncultured bacterium. RNAcentral's name for it is "bacterial SSU rRNA". It matches the Rfam family "Bacterial small subunit ribosomal RNA", at positions 17 to 507 of the family's 1533-position model. The record is from RNAcentral.
UCCUGGCUCAGGAUGAACGCUAGCGGCAGGCCUAAUACAUGCAAGUCGAACGCUCAGUAGCAAUACUGGGAGUGGCGCACGGGUGCGUAACGCGUACACAAUCUACCUCUAAGCGGGGGACACCUCCUGGAAACGGGGAUUAAUACCGCAUAAUAUGCCGAAGUCGCAUGACUUUGGUAUUAAAGCAGCAAUGCACUUAGAGAUGAGUGUGCGUCCCAUUAGGUAGUUGGUGAGGUAACGGCUCACCAAGCCUAUGAUGGGUAGCCGGUCUGAGAGGAUGGUCGGCCACACGGGCACUGAGACACGGGCCCGACUCCUACGGGAGGCAGCAGUAAGGAAUAUUGGUCAAUGGUGGAAACACUGAACCAGCCAUGCCGCGUGGAGGAAUAAGGUCCUACGGAUUGUAAACUCCUUUUGACGAGGAAGAAAAUGUUAGAUUUAUCUAAUUUUGACGGUACUCGUAGAAUAAGCACCGGCUAACUCCGUG